Molecule: transfer RNA, 66 nt
Filed under: Pedicinus obtusus
Lineage: Eukaryota; Metazoa; Arthropoda; Insecta; Psocodea; Pedicinidae
Description: tRNA-Phe
Source: RNAcentral
ACCGAAGAAACUUUGCACAAAGUGUAACAUUGAAGAUGUUAAAAAGGAAUAACUGUCCCUUUGGUG